CAGCAAGAGAUUCAAACCUUGCUUGCUCACAAGGUUAAUAUUUACAAAUAUUGACUUCUGUUGAGCCCUUUGGAACUUAAAAAAUAGUCUCUUGAUUUCUCAGUGAUAACACAGGAGGGAUUUUUGUUUUGUUUUUUUAGUUGGGCAGUGCACAAUUUUAUAUUUUUACUCUGAAAGCUGGUUUGCAAGGAGGUGCAUAAAUAUUAUUUAUCAAAUUACUAGCAUUUUUUGCAAUGCAACUUAUGUUUUUAUAAUGACACCAGAUUAAGAAGAGUGAAAGAAUUGAGCUGCAAAUCUAAGCUUUGCACUCCCAAUCUUAUGUUGGAAUAAUAAAUUCAGUUCAGCCAUAACUUACUGAAUAUGUCUAAUAUUUCUGAAAAUGUCUGAGAUAUUACUGGAUAGGUCAUAGAAGAAAUAUGGAGAAAUGGAAACUAGAAUGAUCUGUGUGAUUCUAGUUGUGGAAGCCGGAAGUUCAAAAUCAAGAUGUCAGCAGUGUGUGUCAGUUCCUUCUGGAGUCUCGAGGAAGGAUCCGUUGUAUGAGUCUCUCCUUCCCUCUGUGCUGCAACUCCUGAAACCUGAAGUCUGUGACUCACCAGUUCUAAGCCCCAGAGUCCUGAUGGGGCACCUCAAGGAGACACUUCAGCCACCUAAGUCAGCUGGACCACCCCAUGACACAGUCAUGGAGGUUCCAGUCUGAAUUCAGAGUCAAUGAUAAGGGAGGCUUCCGUGGCAGAGUGAAAAGCACACACCUGAGAAAUGAAAAGAAAUGGCAAAGGUCACACGUCUCAGGAUGAAUUGCACUGUGUGUGACACCCUAGCUGAAAUCCUAUCCCACAGGACCAUCAGGUCCACGAGAGAAGAGGUGUGCUCAGGAGGGCUGACUGGAAGUCUGAAGACAGCAUGGCAUACAACCAAUGGGUGGAGAGCAGGAGCCAGAGAUGACAUAUGGGAUGAGGCCUUCAUUAAAGUCCAUGGGUAUUAUCCAUCAGGCUUUCCUGUAGGGAUUGUGGAUUGGUCAAUUUAAAGAAAACACUUGUGAACAGGAGUACUUAUCUACAUGAUUCUGACAUUGAUCAUUGAGUUUUAUCAUGGACAGUAGCUGUGGGAUUUUAGGCUAGUGAGAUAGGAAUAAGCAGGCCAUAUUGCAAACAACAACAGGGGCAAGAAAAGUUUUAACUAGUCCAAAGGUGAAGGAAUAUAAACAGGUUUCCAACAGUGGAUACCAGGCCUAAAAAUGGAUGCCAAGGCAACAACUAUAUUAAACAACUUUAUGACACAUACAUUUGUCAUAUAAAUAGUCAGUCCUCUUGUAUGUAGAGAAAAAGAAUAAUGAUUAAUAUGUAACAUGUUCAGAUUUUUGCCUAAUGGAUCUGCUUUUAAGUGAAGAGGUUACAUAUUCUAAUCUGCUCUAUAAGCCACAGUCUCUGUACUUGCUAACUAUUAUUUCACCUUUAUAAUGGCCCUCUGAGGUCAGUUGUAUCGUUUUUUUUUAACAGUUAAGAAAAUGGAAACUGAGGCUGCAAGAUGUAAAGUGAUUCCAAAGAUUAGUGAAAUGCACAACUUUUCCACUAUAUGAGGCUGGCCUAAAGAAUUCCUCAAAAGAUGUGGAGUAGGAGUAGCUUUGCAUUUAUUAUGAAGUCCCACAGGCACAAAGUGCCCUCUAAAGGCAUGAUUUUUUUUUCCUGACAAUUUUUAUUGGGUCAGGACAUAAUAACAUGACAUUUUUAUGGGACUUUCAUCUCAGAAUCCCAAAGCAAUCCCAAAGCACUUAGAACACAUUAUUUAGCUCUCACAACUUAAAAGGUAGGUAGCAAAUUAUUUUGAUAGGAAAUUAACUAUAAUAAGGCUGGCAACAACAGCAUAACAAGUGCUAGUGAAUUGCCUUAAAGGAAUGCAAAGGAUUCAUAUACAUUUCCUAGGUUAGAGGAGAGGCUACUUAUUAAAGGAAAGUGGAGUGGGAACAAGAUUUGAGAAGAUUUAGGAUCUCUUUCCAUGGGUGGAUGUCUUAGAGGUAGCAAUGUUUCUUGUGCUGUGAUUAGUGAGGUUGACUAUUAACUCUCAACAAACAUAUGGUCAUGUCUUCAAAAAUAAUUUUUUUGAAAAUAUAGCUAAAGAGUAGAGUUAUGGACAUCAUUCAGUUCAACAUUUAUUUUACACCACUAUAUAAAGCUUGUGGGAUGGAUAAGAUUUGGCUAUUUUUUAAAACAUUAUUUCUUGUCUACUCCUAUGCAUGGCAUCUGAGUAGAAAAUGCUGAAAUGAGUUUUUCCUAUGCCAAUAUUCCAAGAUAUCUCUUUUCUACUGUAAUGAUAGCAAUAUUUAUUGAAAGGCACAUUUGUCUUUUCACUUCCCUCUUUACUGAAGCCUUGAGAAUAAUUCCCAAAUAGAAUCAUAGCGUUCCAUUAAUCUGAGAAACUCUUAUGAUUACUCUAUUAUAAAGUAGUAACUGGGUUAUCCCCUGAAUAAUUAAGAAUCAUUAACUUAGUCCAGGUCAUUAAAGAUGAUCUGAUGUGGAAGACAGGUGAAUUUACUCAAGUAAAACAGAAACACACAGAGAUAAGUGGCUACCAAAGUUCCCACAGCUAAAUGCUGGUGGAGAUGGGAUUCACCCUUUGAUCUCUGACUCAAAUCUGGUGCUCUUUCUCAUUCAUCCCACUGAUAAAGAAAAAUGGUUUUGAUUUUACUUUCUUUUUGCCAAGGGCUUAUGCAAUUAACUUAUUGUGUACAAUUGAUAGGGACAGGGGGCAGAGAAAUUCUAGGCAGAAAAAGGCAGGUCCCCAGCAAAACCCCACGCUGAAGCUGGAAAGCCUGAAACCAUGGCCCAAAGUGAGAACCUAUGUCUCUGUUUUCCUAUUUGAAUGUUGUCUUUUCCUAAUCCACCCAUGGCUCUCCUCCACCUUAUCCUGUGCCUAUAAAAACCCCAGACUCAGCCAGCAGAUGAGACUAUGGCUGGACAUCAGAGAGAAGCAGCUUGACUUCAGAGGGACAGCUAGACCAUAUAACUUUGGAGAACAAUCUGGCUGGAUAUGGCUGGACUUCAGGGAAAGAUUACCUAUCCACCCCAUGCAUUUUUGAGCUCCCCUUCCCACUGACAGCCACUUUCAUUGGCAAUAAAAUCCCCCUCAUUUACCAUCUUUCAAUUUGUUCACGCAACCUCAUUUUUCUGGAUGCCAGACAAGAGCUCAGGAGCCGCAAGUGCAGAUACAAAAGGCUGUCACACUAGCCCUUUGCCCUUGCUGGCAGGGGGCAGCUGUCUCACGCAAAAAGGCAGAGGACCCAUAAAAAAUGAUGAGUUCAUGUCCUUUGUAGGGACAUAGAUGAAAUUGGAAACCAUCAUUCUCAGUAAACUAUCGCAAGAACAAAAAAACCAAACACCGUAUAUUCUCACUCAUAGGUGGGAAUUGAACAAUGAGAUCACAUGGACACAGGAAGGGG
RNAcentral lists this long non-coding RNA (3433 nucleotides) under Homo sapiens (human). RNAcentral's name for it is "HSALNT0069328". The record is from RNAcentral. Lineage: Eukaryota; Metazoa; Chordata; Mammalia; Primates; Hominidae.